RNAcentral lists this ribosomal RNA (318 nucleotides) under Triticum aestivum (bread wheat). RNAcentral's name for it is "partial small subunit ribosomal RNA". The record is from RNAcentral. Lineage: Eukaryota; Viridiplantae; Streptophyta; Magnoliopsida; Poales; Poaceae.
AUGCAGUUGCAGUACCUACCUCUGGAGCGCCACGGGCGAAUCAAGUCGAGGAGGGGCGAAGAACACUUGCAGAGGAGAAGAAGAGUUAUCUCCAAGAAAACCCAGCCCAAGGGAAAGGUAUCUCGGAUCACUCGAUCAUCUUGCCUGAAACAAAACAGAAAUUUCACCUUGUCAUUUUGUGUUAGAGCUCUGCAACGGGAUGCACUGCCAAGAGACAGAGCAGAAGAUGGGUGGCGUAAUGAAUGUGCCAUUCAGGCAUUACAUAUACAACAUUUCCAUAAGGCCUCGUUUGGUAGGAGAGGGUCGAGGGGGUUUUGA